CAGAGUUGCAAAACUCCCAAACCCUUGUGAACAUACCUGUAUGUCGUUGCUUCGGCGGGCAGCCCCUGGGAGGGGACUCGCCUCUUCGUGAGGUGCCCGCCGGAGGACCAUCAAAACUCUUGAAUUAUAUGGCCUCUAUGAGAACUUUUUAAAUAAGUAA
RNAcentral lists this unclassified non-coding RNA (160 nucleotides) under uncultured Sordariomycetes. RNAcentral's name for it is "sequence contains ITS1". Lineage: Eukaryota; Fungi; Ascomycota; Sordariomycetes. The record is from RNAcentral.